Long non-coding RNA from Strongylocentrotus purpuratus (purple sea urchin), 443 nucleotides. RefSeq lists it as uncharacterized. The record is from RefSeq and is a predicted model, not a curated record. NCBI's taxonomy places the organism in Eukaryota, Metazoa, Echinodermata, Echinoidea, Camarodonta, Strongylocentrotidae. The transcript has 3 exons.
GUAUUGUUUGGGUUCGGAAUAUCAUUUUGUCGGAUUGAAAUGUUGAGUUCUUGUUCAAUCUGUUUUCUAGAUCAGAAUCUACUACCCAAUCGUGCUUACUGUGAUAAUUGGAACCGGUUUACCAGGUGUACAUGCCCAGUCAUGUCACGAAAGACUUGAAGAUGCGUCAACGAGAUUCUUUCAACUCAGAUGUCGAAGAAGUCUUCUUAGAAAUGACUCGAUGAUUGCUUCUGAGCACGACCAGGCACCGUGGAUUCCAAAAGGGUGUGGAAUAAGAAACAGAAGACAGCACGAAAUUUGCAGCGUUCUCGCGAUGGAGAAACCGCAACCAUAUGAAGCUCAGCCAUCUACAGUGCCCCCAACAGCAUCAACGCCACCUUUAGAUGACAGAGACUGUCAUGGUUCCCUUGCCCGGAGCGGUAACUUCACAGGUAAUCAAAGUC